This 207-nucleotide long non-coding RNA is filed under the name Elaeis guineensis (African oil palm). RNAcentral's name for it is "long non-coding RNA (EGUI_LNC076130)". Lineage: Eukaryota; Viridiplantae; Streptophyta; Magnoliopsida; Arecales; Arecaceae. The record is from RNAcentral.
UCUGGCUCGACUUUCAUGUUUGUCCAUCCAUGAUCAGCAGGUGAUUGCCCCAGAGCAUGAGGACGAGGAGAUCUAAAAGCUCUCAAAGUCAGAAGGAGGUCAAAUAUCAUGUCGAGAUGAAGAUUGUUAGGAUUUGAUACCUUGAGAUUUGAUCCAUAUUAAGCCCACAGCGAGGUCUGCAAUGAAAAAUAGAGUCCAACGAGCUCA